UGGUCCGACUAAAGUCCGUUUGCAUAGCUAAAGCUCAGUCUCUGAGGAGCCUGUCAUUGCCUUGAAGUGCCGUAGAAAGCCUGCUUUAAAUUUGGGCCUUCUGUUACCUGAAAAUGUUUUCAAAAAGUGCUUGUCCUCCCCUCUUCAGAUGUGGGGGCAGGGGGGAAAAGAUGUUUUGGUUUUAAGCCUAUUGCAGUGUUAAGUACGCUUACCUUCUGGUUUGUUUUUUUUAGUUAAAAUAGUUCCUUCCAGGAGUGAAUUGGGAAGGAAGGCAAAUCAGAUUAUUGCUAUGAUAACAGUUGAUGUGCCAAGACGCCUCAAGGUUUCAAGCUAGGGCAACAACUGAGUAAAUUGUAAUCCUACUUUUUGGAUCUUAAACUGAAACUUAUUGUAGACUUCUUACUACGAGUUUUGGGUUAUGGCAGACGUGUGCUAGCUACUGGAAGAGAGAGAAGAGGGAUUCUGUGAUCUGGAAAUGACGGUACUUCAAAAGCCUCACUUACAGGCUGCAUUGAGAUGUGCGAUUCUUCAGCAUCCUGUGUCUGUGGCGACCUUUGGAGAUAUGCAUCAUUGCCAUUUGAUGCUCCCUGUGGCACAUCUGGAGGAACUGAGCCAGAGUUUCUGGACCCGAUGCAAAGAUACCAAAGAGCUGAAUGGCAGCAAAAACAUGUGUUCAGAGAACGAGCUUCUUCAAAACUCCUCUUAAAUACUUCAAAUUAUGUGUGGAAAACAGCUCUCCAGGAAACCUGCUGUAUUAAACAUCAUAGAAAGUGGGAGCAGGAAGACAAAGCAGCCCUGUGGAAAGAUGUUUCAGCAAAGGUUGUUUCUGAACACACUGUGCCUGUCCAACACUGGUGUUGCUCGUUGAAAGACCAGAGCAAUAAUUACAGCUUGUGUCCCUCUUCUACACUGCUCGGAUCGCUUCACUGUUCUUUGCUUCUGCAUCUGUAAAAUGGAUGUAGUUGAGCACUCACCUCUCUGUUUAAAGCCCUCUAAGAUCUAAUGAUAAGUAAAAUACAACAAUUGGGUGUGUGUUUUUGUGAGGAAAGGGUUUAAUGAAGUGCUAAUAUUGCAAAAUAGGUGUUGGAUUCUCAACUGAGAAGCCUAAUUAUUGUCCAGGAUGGGCAGCUGACCAAAGGGGCUUUAAAAGCACGGGCUUGUUCUUUCUGCGAUGCUUAUCAGCCUACCCCUGUGCCUGCCUGAUUCUUUGCACAAGGACUGAAAACAGAAAUGCUCUUUGACAGCUUAAAUAACCAAAUUUAGAAUGUGGCUUCCUGUUCUGACUGGUUCUUCAGGAUUCGAGUAUAGUUUUGCAUGACUUCUCUGUUCUUGCCUUCUCCCCCCCUUUUCUUUAAAACCAGAUAUGGGCUCCUUUCUAAUUACUUUGUUAAUUUUCCUUUAUUGUGUGUAAUAAAGCUGGUGUAUGUAACUGCUGCCUUGGUGGGUGGUAUGCCUCUUGAUCGCUGGAAAAGCUUGUUGCUUUACUAUACUCAGUGUCUCAUCCUGCCCUACAUGUGUUGGCUUGUUAUGACCACUACUGCUGAAAUGGCUUUGUUUUCUUGAUAAAAUGGACGAGGUAAAUGCAUUUGUCUUAAUCUGGCCAUGCUAAAAAUGGCCAGAAGACUUUUACUAGACCAAGUUGUCCCCCUGAAGUGCAGCUCUGCAGGGGGCAGUGGUGGGACACAAGUGCGGGAGGUGCUGGCUGGCUCCCCGUAGUUUGGUCUCUACCUGUUUACAGGUUUGCUGUUGUGAUUUAAGGGUCUCCCUAGAUAAGUCAUCUGUUUGUACUCUCAAUCCACUUAAACUCAUCUGCAGACUCUGUUCAUCACUGAAAGCAACACGUCCUCAGAGCAAUGGGAUGAGUUAACUGACC
Molecule: long non-coding RNA, 1873 nt
Organism: Dromaius novaehollandiae (emu)
Lineage: Eukaryota; Metazoa; Chordata; Aves; Casuariiformes; Dromaiidae
Exons: 3
Source: RefSeq, a predicted model, not a curated record